Long non-coding RNA from Pan troglodytes (chimpanzee), 10500 nucleotides. RefSeq lists it as uncharacterized. NCBI's taxonomy places the organism in Eukaryota, Metazoa, Chordata, Mammalia, Primates, Hominidae. The transcript is spliced from 6 exons. The record is from RefSeq and is a predicted model, not a curated record.
CUCUAACUCAAGAAGUUCUCUUCCCUAGGAGGGCAAAUAACAAAGCCUGGUCUAUUUAUAGCUGUUCCUCCCUGUCUCAGGAUAUUGCAUGCUCACACAUGUUUCAACUAUUCUGAGAACUAGAAUCAACAAGACAGAAGAAGACUAGAUGAUGUUUCCUUUCCUGCCCAAUUUAUCUGGUUAAAACGUCUGAUACACUGUUGAAUAGAAGAGGCAAGGGCACAUGUUCAUGUCUUGUUCCUGAUAUUGGGAGAAAGCAUCCCGUUUUUCACCACUCUGGCCAGGACAGCCUAUCUGUGCAGGAGGCAUUGCUGGCACCCCGUGGGGACUGAGGACCAAGGAGGAGCUGCUCCCCCACACACGGUUCGUACUUCUGCUCUGUGAAGAGAGACAACUGUGCCCUGUUACCUUCACUGAACUAUGAGGAUAUUUUUAUAAGACAUCUAUUUCCCAGAUGAGAUAUUCCCUGACAAGUUUUAGGAUAUCAUUAUGUUGUCUGCUGGCUCAUCAACUGAGAAAUCAGCUGCCAGUCUUAUUGUUGUCUCUGUAAAGGAAUGUGUUUUUCACAUCUGGCUACGGCACUUACCCAAGCAGAAACGGGGUUUCACCAUGUUAGCCAAGAUGGUCUCGAUCUCCUGACCUCGUGAUCUGCCCGCCUUGGCCUCCCAAAGUGCUGGGAUUAUGCAUUCUCUCUUUACAUCACAAUGACCAUGACCUUGGAUAUGGAGUCCACUCAAAAAUAAUCUGAACUAAUAAACAAAUUCUGCAAGGUUGAAGACCACAAGGUCAAUAAAAAUAAUUAAUUAUAUUUCUAUGUGAUACAAUAAACAUUCUUAAAAUUAAGAAAAAAAUUUCAUUUACAGUAGAAUAACAAAAAAAUACUUAAAAAUAAGUGUAAUCGUGAGAUACAAAUUGGUACCCUGAAAACUACAAAAAAUUCCUGAACAAUAUUAAAGGUCUAAAUAAAUGGAAAAUUGUCUUGUGUUUAUGGAUCAGAAGACUUAACAAUUUGAAGAUGGCAAUACUUCCCAAAUUGACGCACAGAUUUAAUGCAAUACCUGUCAGAAAACUAGCUGACUUUUGUGGAAAUUGAAAACUGGUUGUAAAAUAAAUGGAAUCGCAGGAGAUAUGGAAUCACCAAGGAAUACUGACACAGAAGAACCAAGUAGGAGAGUGUGCAAUGCCCAGUCUCAUAGCUCAUUACAAAACCAAACCAAGCAAGGCAUUGGCACAAGAAUAGACAUACAGAUCAAUGGAACAGAACUGAGACCCCAGAAAUAAAACCAAGUAGUCAGCUGACUUUUUGAAAGCUUGCCAAGACCAUCGAAUGGGAAAAUUUUUUUUUAAUAUACGUUGCAGGGAUAAUUGGAUAUAAACAUCCAAAAGAAUGAACUUGGAUGCUUAUCUUGCACCAUAUGCAAAAAUAACUGAAAAUGAAUUAAAGGCUAUAACUAUUAACUCAGAACAAAAAAUGAGCUGCAUUUUCAUGAUCCUAGGUUUGGCAAAAUACUCUAAAGUAUAACUCCAAAAAAACCCCACCAAAAAUCUAGAUAAAUUUAAUUUCAUCAAAAUUAAACAUUUUGGGCAUCAAAGGGCAUCAUUAAUAAAAUGAAUAGACUUACUACAGAUUGUGAGAAAAUGCUUGCAUAUCAUAUGUCUGGUAAGCAAAUUGUUUCUAGAGUAAUAUAUAAAAAAACUCUUACAACUCAAUAAGAAGACAAAUAACACAAACUAAAAAAUGGCAAAGGAUCUGAAUAGAUCUUUCUCCCAGCAAGAUCUACAAAUAGCUGAUAAUCACAUGAAGAGGUGCCUGGCAUCAUUAGUCAUCAGGAAAAUGCAAAUCAAAAAACCACAGCUAGGUACUACAUCACACCCACUAGGAUGGCCAGAACACGAAUGACAGAUAGUAAGUAUCAGAAAAGAUAUUGAGAAAGUGGAACCCUUAUACACUGUUGGCAGAAUUUGAAAUGAAACAUCCACCUGGUAAAACAGUUUGGACAUUCCUCGAAGGAUUAAACAUAGAGUUACCAUACGACCCAAAAACCCUACUCUUUGAUACAUACAUAAGAAGAAUGGAAACGUAUAUUCACACAAAAGCUGAAACAUGAAUGUUUAUAGCAGCAUUAUUUAUAUAGCCAAAAGAUAGAAACGACCUAAUUCCUGCCUGCAGUUGAUGCUGAUAAACAAAAUGUCCUAAAUGUCCCCAACUGCAGUGAUGGUUGCAUAGUUCAUGAAUAUACCAAAAUCAAUUGACUUGUUAACUUUCUAGUAUGUGAGUCAUAUUUUAAUGAACUGUUAAGAAAAUUUAAAAACAUAAUGAAUAGGAGAGACUUUCAUGUUAAGAAGAUGAGCGGCUGCCAGGCGCGGUGGCUCACACCUGUAAUCCCAGCACUUUGGGAGGCUGAGAGGAGCAGAUUGCCUGAGCUCAGGAGUUUGAGAACAGCCUGUGCAACAUGGUAACAUCCUGUCUGUAUUAAAAUACAAAAAAUGAGCCAGGCAUGUUGGUGAGUACCUGUAAUCCCAGCUACUCAGGAGGCUGAGGCACAAGAAUUGCUUGAACCUGGGAGGCAGAGGUUGCAGUGAGCGGAGAUCAUGCCACUGCACCCCAGCCUGGGCAACAAAACAAAACUCUGUCUCAGAAAAAAAAAGAAAAAGAAAAACAAACAAACAAACAAAAAAACAAAAGAAGAACAAGAAUGGGAGAGCCUUGAUGUGGUUGGAGCAACUGAGGUGCAGAGUAGGGAGUGUGAGUGUGGGGAGGUGAACAGGUGGCAGCAGGUCCCCAGAGGCCUUGUGUCUGUGGUAAGGAGUUUAGAGUUUAUUCUGAGAAGGAAGGGGUAAAAUGCAAACAUUUUUAAAAAGGGAGUGACUUAAUCAGCUUGAUGUGUUAUGACAGACUCAACAUGGAGAAGGAUGGUUUGAUAAGUGGCCAGGUUGGAGGCAGGAACACUGAAGAAGUAAUCCAGGAGAAAAGUGAUGAGGGCUAAAUAUCAGCAAGGAGACGGAGAAGAAUGGUGUAGUUAUAGGAGAUUUAAGGUAUGAAAUGAUCAGGCCCUGUUGAGGUCAGGAAUAAGGAAGACUUGAAAACCUGGGGCUCUGAGGACUCCUGCAGGUGACAAGCUGAGUGGCGACUCCCUUCCCCAAGGGUGUGGCAGGGGAGCUGGAGGUCAUCUGCAACCCCCACUUGGCUCUUUGGCUGGAUCUAGAAACCAAAUUGACACCAGACAUAUUAAGAAGACAAAAGUAUACCUAGAUUUCAUUAGUUUUACAUGUACAUUAUGCUCUUCAUAAGAGAGUAAGGUCUGAAGAAGUGACCAAAGCAAGAUGUUUUUAUACAUUUUAGACAAAGAACAAUACAUUUGAGAAGAAAUGACAGAACAAAGAGAAUCUGGCUGGGGCAGUGAAUUUCUAGGGGAGUUGACUAGGAGAUAUAUGGAAGUGGGGUGUAAAACUAGCGGAAGAUAAGAGUUAUUUGGAUAAGUAUAAUUAUUCGGAUCCAUUGCAGCCACCCAGUUCUCAGUCUCUGGUGAUAAGGGCUGUUUCCUUGCCCUAAUAUGGUGAGGGCACCCCUCCCAGAGGAAUCUUUAUGGCUUGCUGCAUGUAGGAAGAACAGUGAGCUCACCCUAUCUGAAACUACAAUUUCUCUAAUUUUUUCAGCUUGAAAUAAUCAAUAUGCCAAUUAUGCACAUUUUGGGAUGGUAAGUUCUUCACUUGUUCAGUGUACUUGUUUGCUCCCUUAGGGUCCAGGUGCAUUCUCUUCCAUGCCUUAACUGCUGACACUACUUGGGAGAAUUUACUCUUCAGUUUGUAGCUCAUCUGUGAAGGGAAUUGAAGAAGGGGUUGCAGUAACAUUUAGGUAAGAAAGUGGAUGGGAAUUGGUGACAGGCAUUAUAUUGAGUAACUGCUUACAAGUCAGUAAGAAACAACACUGCAUAUUGGCAGCCUUAAGUUACUUUCUGUGGCAAAGAAAAGAAUCAGUGAUUCUAGUUAUACAGCUUUAUUGGAAAAUGUUUUUAGAAAACUGUAAUCAGAAAAGUACAUUCCUUUAAGUUAGUUUUUCAAACCUUUUUUAAGGCAGCUCGCAAUACUUUAAAAAUUAACAUACGUAUUUAUAUUGAAUAGCAGCUUAUACAUUGAUUUUGCAUACAUAUUUCAAUUAGUAAUUCAAAGAAAACCUUUGGUUUGAGCAUACUCAAAUAAUAAUAAUAUUAUUAUUACUACCAUGUUCCAGAAUAGGAAAUUGAGAUUCAGAGAUAUGAAGAGACUUCAGCUACUGAGUGGUGAAGUCAGAUUUGAAGUUCAUGACUUCUAGCCAGAAACUCCAUGUGGUCACACUAUUUAAGUGAUAUUUUCCUGUCCCUACCCAUCCUAUGUAUUUUUAUUAGCCAAAUGUUUAUUCUUUUAAAAUAAAUAACAAUAUCAUAAAUACAGGGUUGUGUUUGUCUUUAAAGUAAUCUAAGAGUUGCUUAAAUCCAUAGCCUCAGAAACUUCUUUAUUGUUGCCCUAUGAAAGGCAAUUUAACAUCCUUUAGCUCACCAUCAUGUAGCUAUGUUUUGUUUCCUUAGGAAUGCUGUAAUUAGGUCUAUUGUUGGUAUUACUUACUUUUCUCUGUCCACGUUCACUAUGUAGGCAGAAAACUGAGCUCUUAUAAUGAGAAAUAAUUUCCCAUGGAGAUUAAGCUCCACAGUAGUUUUAUAGAUAUUGAGUCGAGAAUAGCAUGUUUUACAGAUUGAGGAAUCAGGCAACUGGGUAAAAGAGAGCUUUCUCUUUAACCAAUAAUCAGGAUUCUGAAGAUAAAUAAUGCUUUAAAGUUUGUACUGAAAACUCCUUAUGAAGUUUUGUCUCAAGAGUGGGAGAGAGAGCUUUAGUAUUGCAUUGUGAAAGUCAAGAAUUACAAUUUAUACCAAAAUACUGAUCACGAUGGACUGAUAUAAUGCAAAAGCAAGGGCAGCCAGUUUUCCAGCUGACAGAUAGAGUUUCAAGUGGAGGCAAAUUAGGCCUAUAACAUAUUCCAUCCUGAAAUAGCCAGAUGAGCCUUUCUUGGCCAAUGAUAAGUCUAUGAGAAACCAGGCAAUUAUUUCCAGCCUGAAAAAUGAGAUGACUUUGAAAUGUAUGAGCCUCACUGGCUGCACAUCUCAUCCGUGCCUACGUCCUGUACAUUAUUUUCCAUCCGUGCCCACAUCCUGUGCAUUAUUUUCCUAAGGUUUUCUGGAAAUUCUUUUUUCUGGUCUGUACCUUUCUGUUGUACUCUAGCUAGUGUCCAACUCUCUCCACUCUGAUCUAAUCUUCACAUUACAUUAUUUACUUUUCCUGAACCUUAGAAAAGUCUCUCUUUCACCCACACUCCUUUCAAUAACAAAAUGUGGAAUGCAAGACAGAUAUUUUAUCUGUCCAAGUGACUUUGAGAAACACAUUUAGCUCUCAAAGUUUCCGUUUCCUUAUCUUUAAAUUGAGGGAAAGAGAGAGAAAUCAGAAAAUGCUGCAAAGUUAAAGGAUGCAAAUUUACACAAUAAUUUUCUAGAUACUUGACAUUUUGAUUCAUCAUUUUCAAAAUCAUUGAAAUUAAAAAUACAGUUUUUAGUGCAUUAUUUUAAAAAAGAAAUAAUUGGCAACACCUGACCAAUAUCAAAUACGCAGGUGAUCUGUUUUGGCUUAUUUCCUCUGUAACAUUUAAGAGUGGGUUCUCCUGAGUUCACUGGCAUCCCAAAACACGAGACACAUUGAUGGAGCUUCAAUGUGAAAUAAUCAUGUGGAAAAUCUUUCCACUUUUCUUCCUUCUUGCUCCUUAAGACACUUCCAUCUUGUGACCUGGAGUACUGCCAGUAUAGUAAUUGCAUCUCAAAUAGACUGUUAGUAUGCAAGCAUUGCAAAUGUUUACCUGUGGUACAAUAAGGAAGCUGAGGAUAUUAAAGCGAUAAUGUAUGAGGAGCUGGUGACAUUAGAUGACUUGAUGUAUCUUUUAGAAAGAGGAAGGCACAGGCAAGAACAUUCUUUAUAUCUGCAUUUCCUGCCAGGCUGCGAAACACUUCACUUAAUGAGCAUCUUUCCCUGCAGAGUAAAGUGACAUCAAUUAGAAAAUAAGCUUAUAAUGGAACCUUUACCUUUGAAAUGAUGUGUUUGCACAACUCCCCAAGGCAGUGUGUGCAUAAACUCAAGGCUUGUUUUCCAUCUAAACAACUUCUGAUUUUACUCAUUUACUAAAGAAAGGCAAGAAGCACCGUCAAGGCUUAGGUAUACAGGUUCAGUUUUGUUAGCUCAUGAAGGUUGUAUCUGAUGGUUUUUCAAAGCAGUGUUUAGCAACUGCAAGAAGAUCCCCUGGUUUUACAUGCACAAAAUAAUUUAUCUGAAUCCUUCUAUCCUCAGAGAGCAGAAUCAAUACUGUUGCCUAUUUGGCAUCAAAUGGGAUUUAUGCAAAUCCCUCAUCUGUGCAGAAAUCUAAUGAUUUUUAGUGUCAGUGUUUCUAAUUCUUUGUGGUGUUCCUUAUAUUGGUUUCUGGAAAAAUUACUGCCUAGCCAACCAUGCUUUUCUUCCAGAUUGAUUUUCUUCACUAAGUAACCAUGAAGUGUAUCAUAUUGCAAUAUAGCCUAUUCUUAAGUGCAUUGUUAGAGUGCCACUCUCCUGAAUCACCCUGAAUGCCUUGUUUUCAAAACUUCUAGGUUGUGACUAUCGUUAAAAAAAAAAAAAAAUCAUUCCUGUAGGACAGCGAUCUCCUAACCUUGACAGCUUCUUAAGAACAGGCAGCAGUGCAGCUGUUAGGGAUUAGGAAGGUCAUGGCCAGACUCACCCUCCAUGUUGAACCUAAACAGUAUUGUUGGGUAGGAAUAUCUUUCAUCAUCUCAAAGACGUUGUAACAAAUGCAGAUACGUUUAAAAAGGCUGCGAGGGACUUGAAGCUUUUUAAUCUGCAAAUUUGUAGAAUGCUUUUUUUUUUGACGUUUUUCUGGGAUGUAUUUUAUAUUCCACAAUGAAAAGUAAAAGGUUUGGAGUACAAAAGAAUUGAUAUAACCUAGAGCCAAUUAUGUGCAUAAAUCCCAACCAUCAUUCCUCUCUUCUUCUUCCCUUUUAUAUUUCAUUUUCUUCCUACUUGUUUUACUUUUCCUUCUUCUUUUCCUCACCCUUUCUUUCUUAUCCUUCCCUCACAUUUUUCUUCCCCUCUCUCAUUUACUACCUCUUUGACAUGCUGUGCACCCCACAGUGGAGACAUCAUAGUAUGAGGUAAAAAAACAAAAUUAAAUAUGUUAUGAUGCCUAACCACGUUUUUCAGGGUCCCCUAAAGCAUUUCUCAUACUUUUUAAAAAAGUAUUUAGAUUUUAAUUUUUGUGAGUACAUAGUAGGUGUAUAUAUUUAUGGGAUACAUGAGACACUUUGAUACAGGCAUUAAAUAUGAAAUAAUCCCAUCAUGGACAAUGGGCUAUCUAUCACCUCAACAUUUAUUCUGUGUGUUUCAAACAAUCCAUUUACACUCUUUUAGUUAUUUUAAAAUGUACAAUUAAGUUAUUAUUGACUGUAAUCACCCUGUUGUGCUAUCAAGUAGUAGGUCUUACUCUUUCUAAUUUUUGUACCCAUUGAGCAACCUCACUUCCCCCCUAACCCCCUACUACCCUUCAAAGCCUCUGGUAACCAUCCUUCUACUCUAUGCCCAUGAGUUCAAUUGUUUUGAUUUUCAGAUCCCACAAAUAAGUGAGAACAUGCGAUAUUUGUCUUCUUUUUGUGCCUGGCUUAUUUUACUUAACAUAAUGAUCUCCAGUUCCAUCCAUAUUGUUGCCAAUAAGAGAAUCUCAUUUUUUAUGCCUGAAUAGUACUCCUUUGUAUAUAUGUGCCACAUUUUCUUUAUCCAUUCAUCUAUUGAUAGACACUUAGGUUGCUUCCAAAUCUUAGCUCUUGUAAACACUGCUACCACAAACAUGAGAGUGCAGAUAUCUCUUUGAAAUACUGAUUUCCUUUCUUUGGGUAUAUACCCAGCAGUGGGUUGGCUGGAUCAUAUGGUAGCUCAAUCUUUACUUUUUUUGAGGAAUCUCCAAACUGUUCUCCAUAGUGCUGGUGCUAAUUUACAUUCCCAUCAUCAUCGUAGAAGGGUUCUCCUUUCUCUACAUCCUCACCAGCAUUUGUUAUUGUCUGUCUUUUGGGUAUGAGUCAUUUUAACUGGGGUAAGAUGAUUUCUCAUUGUAGUUUUAUUUGCAAUUUUUUGAUGGUCGAUGAUGUUGAGCACCUUUUCAUAUGCCUAUUUGCUAUUUGUAUGUCUUCUUUUGAGAAAUGUCUAUUCAGAUAUUUUGCCCAUUGUUUGAUCAGAUUAUUUGAUUUUUUCCUAUGCAGUUGUUUGAGCUCCUCAUAUAUUUUGGGUAUUAGUCACUUGUCAUAUGGGUAGUUUGAAAAUAUUUUCUUCUAUUCUGGGGUUGUCUCUUCAGUUUGUUGUUUCCUUUGCUGUGCAAAAAUUUUUUAACUUGAUCUUAUCCCAUUUGUCCAUUUUUGCUUUGGUUGUCUUUGCUUGUGGGAUAUCACUCAGGAAAAUUUUGCCCAGACAAAUGUCCUGGAAAUUUUCCUCAAUGUUUUCUCAUUUUCUUAAGGUGUUUAGUUUGAUUUGGUUUUGGUUUUAUUGUACAAGUUUUCUGCAGUAAAAAUAAAUACUAAUGCUUCUGGAUAUUCAUAAUUUUCAUUAGAAUGCACAAAUCUCUGGGGAGGAGUCUGCACUAAAGAUAGAAGGUAUUCAGGAUUGAAUAAAUGUAUUUGAUCUCAGAGUCUUUUUAAACAACAGUUAGAAACAUUUCAAGGAGACAAUUUUCCUAAAACAUUUUGGGAAACUUUUGCUGUAGUUCAGUCUACUCAAGAAAAACACAGCAAGAAUGCAUUCCUCCUGGCCCACACUACACUAUCCAGUAAUCAAAACAUUUGGCAGCACAAGGCAGUAUUUCCUGAAUUUUCUAGAAGUUCGAAAUCUGUUUCUCAAAUUGAGCCAAAAGCCUGCUUUCUAAAAUUUUCAUUAAUACGUUGCUUCAACUUUUUCUACUUCUGCCAGGUAUAUAAAAUCUCUCUUCCACAUGGAAAUUACUGAGGCAUGUAAAAGUUAUUAUGUCAUCAUUUCACUGAAUUAACUAUCUCCUUGGCAAAACAUUACUGAUUUCUUUAUCUGUCCUACAUAUGAUGUAGUAGAAAACUUACCCCACCACAUCCAUUACAAUUCCUUGUAUAAAAACAUCAUUUUUAUAGAUAUAAAUAUUUCCCACUUGUAAAUAUUUUCAUUUAAUCUGUCAAUUCAACUGAAGAAAUUUUGGGUGCUUUCUAGAUAACAAGUGUUCUGUUUUAGUCAUGGGUACCACUAUUAAGAGGUUCACAUACACAAGCACAGGGUGACAUAUGAGAUCACGUGCUGAUGAUCUGUUGUGUGUGUGAAGAUGAUCUCUUGGCAUUUAGCAUCCAUUCUUAUCUCUCUUAGUGUGUUCCUCCACUGAAGAACAUGAAAAACAAAAACUCAUGCUCCUAUAUUUCUUGGCAGCAAGAGUUCUAGAUGAAAAUUACAUUUCAACAAUUAGAAUCAUCUUUUGAGAUUUGGAAGGUAAAGAUGAAAAGGAAGCCAUAUUCUGCCUUCCUUUGCUGUUUGUAGCUACAGAACAGGGUUCUGGAACCACGUUUUCUGCUUGUGUGUGGUUUUGCUUUGCCCCCUUUUUCCUGCAAGAGUAUUCCAACAUCCAGUUUCUCAUGCCCAGGGGUCAAGAAGGAAGUAGCCAUACUCAGAUUUCCAAUAGAGGCCACCAGCUUCACUAGUGGUGGAGAGAAACGUGUGUUUCCAAUAUGGCGAGGCUCUCUGAUUCUGACUUUCGAUCCUUGAAUUUUGGUUAUUGUGCUGCCUUCUUCAACUCAUCUGCUUCAAAAGCAGCCUCCAGAUGCUCCAACCUCAUAACAGUGUCAUAGAUUGCAGUUCUGAUGAGUUCGUUUCUGGGAGCCUUUCUUUCCCAGCAUAAAGGCUGGUCACACUUCUCUUCCAAGGGCUUUGUAAGCACAAACGUUAUUUAGUGCUUUAAAUAAGUAUAGUAAGUUCUGUUUCUGGCAUGAAAACUUAGUUAAUAAAGUAUUUACUACCAGAGCAGUUAAUAGCCAACAUUUUAAAUGAUAAGAUUCUGGGGUAGUCAAAAUAGAAAUGGGAUAAAGGGACCGGGCAUGGUGGCUCACGCCUGUAAUCCCAGCACUUUGGGAGGCUGAGGCAGGUGGAUUGCCUGAGCUCAGGAGUUCGAGGUCACCCUGGGCAACAUGGUGAAACUGCAUCUCUAUUAAAAUACAAAAAAAAAAAAAAAUUAGUCUGGUGUGGUGGUGCAUACCUGUAGUCUCAGCUGAGGCAUGAGAAUCGCUUAAGCCCCAGGAGCGGAGGUUGCAGUGAGACAAGAUCACACCACUGCACUCCAGCUUGGGCUACAGAGUGACGCUCCAUCUCAAAAAAAAAAAAAAAAAAAAAAAAAAAAAGAAAGAAAGAAAAAAGGGAUAAAGGAUGUGAAGGUAUAUAUAUAUAUAU